This is a long non-coding RNA of Arabidopsis lyrata subsp. lyrata, 2618 nucleotides long. RefSeq lists it as uncharacterized. The record is from RefSeq and is a predicted model, not a curated record. The transcript has 10 exons. NCBI's taxonomy places the organism in Eukaryota, Viridiplantae, Streptophyta, Magnoliopsida, Brassicales, Brassicaceae.
UUGAAAUUCACUUGCCAAUUAGAUAAGUUUGAACGACUCGGCUUCCUCAUAAAGUCAUAAUCUCCCUUUUUCUUCGUAAACAAAACCCCUCAUCACCUUCCUCUCAUCAAAUAAUUUCGCUCGGAUUGAAGAUGCGAAUGGAGUUUCAUUCAUCACCGCAACGAGCCCAUCGACCGGAAUUUUCGAAGGGAUAUCAAGAGUGUUCUUCAGUUCAACCCUAGGCAUAAGAGCAUUGAAAACUUGGAGUUAGAAAGACAAAUAUGUUUAAUGUAGAACUAUCCGCGCAUCUCUGUUGUAAAAACAAGCACACCGAAGCUUUGAAGAUGUGUGACGGUGGCAGGGUCAUGCAUGUGUAGAAGAGGAGGCCAUACAAAGAGUCGUUGAUGCUGCGUUACAAUAUGAACAAAUAAUCGGAAUUGUCAACUUAACACAUUGAUCUUCCAAGGCUUACAAAAGUUGUUGUUGGUAAGCUACAUUGACUGCAUCUUAUUGACCAAUAGAGCAGAGAGUUUAGGCCUAUUUCUUUAACAAUUGAUCAUGAGGUAUUACACUUUAUUAUCUACCAUUGGUUGUUUCCCAUGACACAAAGCGUUAUUUUCAGUCUUUUAUUGUAAAGGUAAUAGGGAUUCUUUACUUUCCCCCUGCCUUGGGACUCUUAAUGUUAUUAUGGACAGUCUAUUGUGACUUUAGAAUAGUUUAAAUAAUACGUUAGCGUUUCCCUACAUUAUGCAAUCCAUAUAUACGUUUGACCGGGGAAAAGGGGAUGACAGUUGAUACAAGCAUUCACCAAAAAGGUCAAAUGUAAAAGUUUCCUCUCUAAUCUUUCAAUUAUUUUGUAUGCUGGUACCGGUGGUAUGUGGGUUUAAUGCUACGUUAAUGGGUUCUCAGACUCGAUUCAUAAUCUCUGUUUUCUUUCUCAAAAUUAGCAUGCUUUAUUGAGAACGUGGAUGAGCUAAAAUCAAAGGGUGUUGAUGUGAUCAUCUUCUUUGCCGAUAAGUAUGAUUGUUUCAAUGUCAGCAUAUGGAGAGAGUUGGCAUUUGACCGACCCGGUCGCCCGUUUCAGCUACACUACCCUUCUCACAUUGUCACGUGAGAAAUUAUCAGUUCAGCUGUAGGAAACAGAGGAGUACAAGGAAUAUCAAUUUCCCACAUAUUUUAAUACAAUUGUGAGAGGUUUGAUUCAAAUUGUCGGACGAACAAAAUCUACAUGUAGAUUAAUACGAGAUCAUGGCAGUGAUAAUAGGAAACUUUUUGGAGAAGGAUGUAAUAGUACCAAAAUGAGAAGUAAUGAAAUGGAAAUCAAAGAGAGAAAAUUAUGCCCCCCAAAAAAGGAUGGUUAAGACGUGAACCGGUGCACAUUUAUUCGAGGAUAUGUGCAACAUUACAACGAAGCACUUACAAACUCAAAGUUUAAUGUUAUUUCUCUGCUUGGAUUUGAAAAGGCUUUAGAAAUUGAUCAAAAUUUAUCAAAAGAAUUGCGGAAAAUAGCUCUUUAGUAUUCAUCAAAAUUCAUGUCUUUCUCAUAUAGAAAACUUAAAUCGGUUGUACAAAAUUAAAAUAUAAGUGUAACAAAAUAGCAAAAGCAAACAAAUGAAAAGAAAACUCUCUCAACCUUGAGCCACCCGUAAACCCUAGAUCUCUCACCGUCGCCGGCAAACCCAAUGGCUAAGAAAAAUAAACCCCCUUCCUCUUCCUCUCACCGCUCAGUUUCCGUUGCUUCCUCCAAAAAUUCUCUUUUGCCAUCCGAAACUCGAUCUCUUCUCCGGGGCUAAUUCUGAUGUUGAAGCGUUGGAUAAGCCGCCUUGGGUAAAUAUAGUAAAAAGCACUUCUCAAACGAUGAGGAAGAAAGGAAAGGAAUUUACCUUAACCUCGGGUGUUGAAAUUCCGGAACAAGCACCGAUGGGAGAAAUUCAUCAUAGAUCUGUUUCACGGGAAUGCUCCUAGUCCAGGUGCUCUUCACGCCAUUUGGAGCAACAGAUUACGUGAUAUUACGGUUUUUAAGCUCUCGGAUAAAUCUUUUCUUAUCAAGAUCUCGAACCCAGAAACUCGGAAGAGGGUCCUGGUUUUUCUCCGAAGAUCCCAACUCUCACUAGAGUUCUUGGACAAUUUUCUAGAAGCUCUUCACUUAUGUGGCUAAGAAGCCGAUAGCUGGGUUCGUUGAUGAGAAUGAUGUUUUCCAAUGGAGCUUCUCAAUUAUGGCUUGUAAUUUAGAGGAAAAUAUGAUUGAGAAACAGUCUCACACCACUAAUUCACUAACAACACUACGUAUUGCUCGAAGAUUGUUGUGAUGGAAGUCAUGAGUAUGAUGGUCAAGUGACAUGCCCAAAUACAUGCUCGGAAUCUGAAAAGCUGCUCGAGAAAGUCUGAAGAAAAAAGUCAAGAGACAUAUAACCAAAGGUUUGUAAUUAUACAUUGGAGCUGGACUGGUGUCUUACCCAAUUCUCAGAUCGUCAAGAACGAAGGGGCCAAGUCACUCUUCAAGGGUGCAGGUGCCAACAUAGUGAUGGGAUUGUAAUUUGUACUUUGUGACUACUGACUACAGUAAUUUGAUUUUGUAUUGAUAACCGAGCAAAACCAAAAUACGAUUUUGACUUUAUUUACACAAAACCGGAACCAAA